GAUGAACGCUGGCGGCGUGCCUAAUACAUGCAAGUCGAGCGAACAGACGAGGAGCUUGCUCCUCUGACGUUAGCGGCGGACGGGUGAGUAACACGUGGAUAACCUACCUAUAAGACUGGGAUAACUUCGGGAAACCGGAGCUAAUACCGGAUAAUAUAUUGAACCGCAUGGUUCAAUAGUGAAAGACGGUUUUGCUGUCACUUAUAGAUGGUUCCGCGCCGCAUUAGCUAGUUGGUAAGGUAACGGCUUACCAAGGCAACGAUGCGUAGCCGACCUGAGAGGGUGAUCGGCCACACUGGAGCUGAGACACGGUCCAGACUCCUACGGGAGGCAGCAGUAGGGAAUCUGCCGCAAUGGGCGAAAACCUGACGGAGCAACGCCGCGUGAGUGAUGAAGGUCUUCGGAUCGUAAAACUCUGUUAUUAGGGAAGAACAAAUGUGUAAGUAACUAUGCACGUCUUGACGGUACCUAAUCAGAAAGCCACGGCUAACUACGUG
RNAcentral lists this ribosomal RNA (497 nucleotides) under uncultured bacterium. RNAcentral's name for it is "partial 16S ribosomal RNA". It matches the Rfam family "Bacterial small subunit ribosomal RNA", at positions 28 to 507 of the family's 1533-position model. The record is from RNAcentral.